This 1295-nucleotide ribosomal RNA is filed under the name Lactiplantibacillus plantarum. RNAcentral describes it as "bacterial SSU rRNA". It matches the Rfam family "Bacterial small subunit ribosomal RNA", at positions 103 to 1385 of the family's 1533-position model. Lineage: Bacteria; Bacillati; Bacillota; Bacilli; Lactobacillales; Lactobacillaceae. The record is from RNAcentral.
CUGGUGAGUAACACGUGGGAAACCUGCCCAGAAGCGGGGGAUAACACCUGGAAACAGAUGCUAAUACCGCAUAACAACUUGGACCGCAUGGUCCGAGCUUGAAAGAUGGCUUCGGCUAUCACUUUUGGAUGGUCCCGCGGCGUAUUAGCUAGAUGGUGGGGUAACGGCUCACCAUGGCAAUGAUACGUAGCCGACCUGAGAGGGUAAUCGGCCACAUUGGGACUGAGACACGGCCCAAACUCCUACGGGAGGCAGCAGUAGGGAAUCUUCCACAAUGGACGAAAGUCUGAUGGAGCAACGCCGCGUGAGUGAAGAAGGGUUUCGGCUCGUAAAACUCUGUUGUUAAAGAAGAACAUAUCUGAGAGUAACUGUUCAGGUAUUGACGGUAUUUAACCAGAAAGCCACGGCUAACUACGUGCCAGCAGCCGCGGUAAUACGUAGGUGGCAAGCGUUGUCCGGAUUUAUUGGGCGUAAAGCGAGCGCAGGCGGUUUUUUAAGUCUGAUGUGAAAGCCUUCGGCUCAACCGAAGAAGUGCAUCGGAAACUGGGAAACUUGAGUGCAGAAGAGGACAGUGGAACUCCAUGUGUAGCGGUGAAAUGCGUAGAUAUAUGGAAGAACACCAGUGGCGAAGGCGGCUGUCUGGUCUGUAACUGACGCUGAGGCUCGAAAGUAUGGGUAGCAAACAGGAUUAGAUACCCUGGUAGUCCAUACCGUAAACGAUGAAUGCUAAGUGUUGGAGGGUUUCCGCCCUUCAGUGCUGCAGCUAACGCAUUAAGCAUUCCGCCUGGGGAGUACGGCCGCAAGGCUGAAACUCAAAGGAAUUGACGGGGGCCCGCACAAGCGGUGGAGCAUGUGGUUUAAUUCGAAGCUACGCGAAGAACCUUACCAGGUCUUGACAUACUAUGCAAAUCUAAGAGAUUAGACGUUCCCUUCGGGGACAUGGAUACAGGUGGUGCAUGGUUGUCGUCAGCUCGUGUCGUGAGAUGUUGGGUUAAGUCCCGCAACGAGCGCAACCCUUAUUAUCAGUUGCCAGCAUUAAGUUGGGCACUCUGGUGAGACUGCCGGUGACAAACCGGAGGAAGGUGGGGAUGACGUCAAAUCAUCAUGCCCCUUAUGACCUGGGCUACACACGUGCUACAAUGGAUGGUACAACGAGUUGCGAACUCGCGAGAGUAAGCUAAUCUCUUAAAGCCAUUCUCAGUUCGGAUUGUAGGCUGCAACUCGCCUACAUGAAGUCGGAAUCGCUAGUAAUCGCGGAUCAGCAUGCCGCGGUGAAUACGUUCCCGGGCCUUGUA